UUAGUCAUUACAGAACAUUCGAGUCUUGGUAGAAGACUACUUAGUCAUAAUAGAACAUUAGGGUCUUGGUAGAAGACUAUCAUAUCAUUUUCCUAUUUUACUUUAUUUUGUGAUAUAUUCACAUAAACGAUGAGUUAGACUAAGUACUCUUAGUACUAGUCGAUAGAAAGGAAAAACUAUCAUUUUACUUACAGAACAUUAAGGUCUUGGUAGAAGACUAUCAUAUCAUUUUCCUAUGUUACUUUAUUUUGUGAUAUAUUCACAUAAACGAUGAGUUAGACCAAGUACUCUUAGUACUAGUCAAUAGAAAGGAAAACCUAUCAUUUUACUGGUCAUAACAAAACAUUCGGGUCUUGGUAGAAGACCACAUUUCAUACUUAUAUCAACUGUGCUAUUUAAGGAUUUAUACGACAUUCUUAACAACAUUCCAAAACAGGACAAUAACACAUAAAUACUUAUGAAUUCACCAGCUUUAAAGCUGAUACUCGCUUUCAAUAUAACUUGUAUUCUCAGGUCAUCAGUUAGACAGGUGCGAUGGCCAUGUUACCGGAG
This 552-nucleotide long non-coding RNA is filed under the name Lactuca sativa (garden lettuce). RNAcentral describes it as "long non-coding RNA (LSAT_LNC000821)". Lineage: Eukaryota; Viridiplantae; Streptophyta; Magnoliopsida; Asterales; Asteraceae. The record is from RNAcentral.